GACGAACGCUGGCGGCGUGCUUAACACAUGCAAGUCGAACGAUGAAGCCUAGCUUGCUAGGUGGAUUAGUGGCGAACGGGUGAGUAAUACGUGAGUAACCUACCCUUAACUCUGGGAUAAGCCUGGGAAACUGGGUCUAAUACCGGAUACGACCAAUCUCCGCAUGGGGUGUUGGUGGAAAGCGUUAUGUAGUGGUUAUAGAUGGGCUCACGGCCUAUCAGCUUGUUGGUGAGGUAACGGCUCACCAAGGCGACGACGGGUAGCCGGCCUGAGAGGGUGACCGGCCACACUGGGACUGAGACACGGCCCAGACUCCUACGGGAGGCAGCAGUGGGGAAUAUUGCACAAUGGGCGCAAGCCUGAUGCAGCGACGCCGCGUGAGGGAUGACGGCCUUCGGGUUGUAAACCUCUGUUAGCAGGGAAGAAGAGAGAUUGACGGUACCUGCAGAGAAAGCGCCGGCUAACUACGUGCCAGCAGCCGCGGUAAUACGUAGGGCGCGAGCGUUGUCCGGAAUUAUUGGGCGUAAAGAGCUUGUAGGCGGUUUGUCGCGUCUGCUGUGAAAGGCCGGGGCUUAACUCCGUGUAUUGCAGUGGGUACGGGCAGACUAGAGUGCAGUAGGGGAGACUGGAAUUCCUGGUGUAGCGGUGGAAUGCGCAGAUAUCAGGAGGAACACCGAUGGCGAAGGCAGGUCUCUGGGCUGUAACUGACGCUGAGAAGCGAAAGCAUGGGGAGCGAACAGG
RNAcentral lists this ribosomal RNA (741 nucleotides) under Rothia mucilaginosa. RNAcentral's name for it is "bacterial SSU rRNA". It matches the Rfam family "Bacterial small subunit ribosomal RNA", at positions 28 to 776 of the family's 1533-position model. The record is from RNAcentral. Lineage: Bacteria; Bacillati; Actinomycetota; Actinomycetes; Micrococcales; Micrococcaceae.